AAGUAAUUAGUUCAAUGGUAGAGCAUUUCGUUUACAACGAAAAAGUUAUGGGUUCGAAUCCCUUAUUACUUA
Molecule: transfer RNA, 72 nt
Filed under: Porphyra umbilicalis (laver)
Lineage: Eukaryota; Rhodophyta; Bangiophyceae; Bangiales; Bangiaceae
Description: tRNA-Val
Rfam family: tRNA
About the family: Transfer RNA (tRNA) molecules are approximately 80 nucleotides in length. Their secondary structure includes four short double-helical elements and three loops (D, anti-codon, and T loops). Further hydrogen bonds mediate the characteristic L-shaped molecular structure. tRNAs have two regions of fundamental functional importance: the anti-codon, which is responsible for specific mRNA codon recognition, and the 3' end, to which the tRNAs corresponding amino acid is attached (by aminoacyl-tRNA synthetases). tRNAs cope with the degeneracy of the genetic code in two manners: having more than one tRNA (with a specific anti-codon) for a particular amino acid; and 'wobble' base-pairing, i.e. permitting non-standard base-pairing at the 3rd anti-codon position.
Source: RNAcentral